This 839-nucleotide ribosomal RNA is filed under the name Paenibacillus sp. TBS3-16_Pa. Its description in RNAcentral is "bacterial SSU rRNA". It matches the Rfam family "Bacterial small subunit ribosomal RNA", at positions 61 to 889 of the family's 1533-position model. The record is from RNAcentral. Lineage: Bacteria; Bacillati; Bacillota; Bacilli; Caryophanales; Paenibacillaceae.
GUCGAGCGGAUUGUUCCUUCGGGAACAGUUAGCGGCGGACGGGUGAGUAACACGUAGGCAACCUGCCUGCAGGAUCGGGAUAACUACCGGAAACGGUAGCUAAGACCGAAUACAAGACUUUGACGCAUGUCGGAGUUUGGAAACACGGAGCAAUCUGUGACCUGUAGAUGGGCCUGCGGCGCAUUAGCUAGUUGGUGAGGUAACGGCUCACCAAGGCGACGAUGCGUAGCCGACCUGAGAGGGUGAACGGCCACACUGGGACUGAGACACGGCCCAGACUCCUACGGGAGGCAGCAGUAGGGAAUCUUCCGCAAUGGACGCAAGUCUGACGGAGCAACGCCGCGUGAGUGAUGAAGGUUUUCGGAUCGUAAAGCUCUGUUGCCAGGGAAGAAAGGCCAGGAGAGUAACUGCUCUUGGAUUGACGGUACCUGAGAAGAAAGCCCCGGCUAACUACGUGCCAGCAGCCGCGGUAAUACGUAGGGGGCAAGCGUUGUCCGGAAUUAUUGGGCGUAAAGCGCGCGCAGGCGGUCAUUUAAGUUUGGUGUUUAAUUCCGGGGCUCAACCCCGGGUCGCAUCGAAAACUGGGUGACUGGAGUGCGGGAGAGGAAAGUGGAAUUCCACGUGUAGCGGUGAAAUGCGUAGAGAUGUGGAGGAACACCAGUGGCGAAGGCGACUUUCUGGACCGUAACUGACGCUGAGGCGCGAAAGCGUGGGGAGCAAACAGGAUUAGAUACCCUGGUAGUCCACGCCGUAAACGAUGAGUGCUAGGUGUCGGGGGUUUCAAUACCCGCGGUGCCGAAGUUAACACAGUAAGCACUCCGCCUGGGGAGUACGCUCGC